Molecule: ribosomal RNA, 462 nt
Filed under: uncultured bacterium
Lineage: Bacteria
Description: partial 16S ribosomal RNA
Rfam family: Bacterial small subunit ribosomal RNA
Source: RNAcentral
GACGAACGCUGGCGGCAUGCUUAACACAUGCAAGUCGAACGGAAAGGCCCUUCGGGGUACUCGAGUGGCGAACGGGUGAGUAACACGUGGGUGAUCUGCCCUGCACUUUGGGAUAAGCCUGGGAAACUGGGUCUAAUACCGAAUAGGACCACGCGCUUCAUGGUGUGUGGUGGAAAGCUUUUGCGGUGUGGGAUGGGCCCGCGGCCUAUCAGCUUGUUGGUGGGGUAAUGGCCUACCAAGGCGACGACGGGUAGCCGGCCUGAGAGGGUGACCGGCCACACUGGGACUGAGAUACGGCCCAGACUCCUACGGGAGGCAGCAGUGGGGAAUAUUGCACAAUGGGCGCAAGCCUGAUGCAGCGACGCCGCGUGAGGGAUGACGGCCUUCGGGUUGUAAACCUCUUUCAAUAGGGACGAAGCGCAAGUGACGGUACCUAUAGAAGAAGCACCGGCCAACUACGUG